AAAUAAAACAAUGUACAAUUGAGGUUGGAUUUCUUUCCAUGCGGAUAUGAUAGAUGUGAGAAUCGUGCCACUGUACAUAGCUAUGAACCUGGUGACAUUGUACAAUUCAACAUAAAAUAAGGACAUAUGGGGAUUGCACGUAGACAAACUCAACAACUAGGAUACACCAAACUGAGAUAGCACAUGACUGCCAUAGUCCCAAUCAAUGAUGGGAACAUGCCAACUUCUGAUAUUUAAGCACAUGUCCAGCUUUCAGCACACAUAACAUAACUAUAUAUCACCAAGGGCACCAAAGUUUGUUCCGGUAGAAACAAGGUAACAACAAUUUGAAUCACCAUGCGUGGGUACCAAGCUUGUUUCCACCAUGGUAUGGAUGCAAGGUCUGCUCGUGCAACAUGAUGAAUGGUAUAGGACUGUGAGGUUUCGGGAAAGAAGUUGCGAGAUGUUAGCCCAUUUGUGGAUAACCGCACCAAGUUACACCAUAGGUCAUGAGACAUUCAUCCACUACUAUUCUCUCUACCGCUUCUGAUAGAGAGAUCAUGUCAUGAACCGAAGACAAUCAGUGAAAGCUAUGUCAACGACCUGUAUAGAUGAGAAGUCUGGGUAUUUGACUCACAUUUUUUAUACCCCGCAACAAUGGAUAAGAGUAGCA
This 652-nucleotide long non-coding RNA is filed under the name Hordeum vulgare. RNAcentral's name for it is "long non-coding RNA (HVUL_LNC013771)". The record is from RNAcentral. Lineage: Eukaryota; Viridiplantae; Streptophyta; Magnoliopsida; Poales; Poaceae.